Molecule: ribosomal RNA, 490 nt
Filed under: uncultured bacterium
Lineage: Bacteria
Description: partial 16S ribosomal RNA
Rfam family: Bacterial small subunit ribosomal RNA
Source: RNAcentral
AUUGAACGCUGGCGGCAGGCCUAACACAUGCAAGUCGAACGGUAACAGGAAACGGCUUGCUGUUUCGCUGACGAGUGGCGGACGGGUGAGUAAUGUCUGGGAAACUGCCUGAUGGAGGGGGAUAACUACUGGAAACGGUAGCUAAUACCGCAUAACGUCGCAAGACCAAAGAGGGGGACCCUCGGGCCUCUUGCCCUCGGGUGUGCCCAGAUGGGAUUAGCUUGUUGGUGGGGUAACGGCUCACCAAGGCGACGAUCCCUAGCUGGUCUGAGAGGAUGACCAGCCACACUGGAACUGAGACACGGUCCAGACUCCUACGGGAGGCAGCAGUGGGGAAUAUUGCACAAUGGGCGCAAGCCUGAUGCAGCCAUGCCGCGUGUAUGAAGAAGGCCUUCGGGUUGUAAAGUACUUUCAGCGGGGAGGAAGGGAGUAAAGUUAAUACCUUGGCUCAUUGACGUUACCCGCAGAAGAAGCACCGGCUAACUCCGUG